GACGAGGGGGCGAGCGUUGUCCGGAUUUAUUGGGCGUAAAGGCGUGCGUAGGCGGCUGCGCAAGUCGGUUGUGAAACCCCGGGGCUCAACCCCGGAAACUGGCAUCCGAGUACUGCGUGCUAGAGGUAGGUAGGGGAGAUCGGAAUUCCUGGUGGUAGCGGUGAAAUGCGCAGAUAUCAGGAGGAACGACCGGUGGCGAAGGCGGAUCUCUGGGCCUUACCUGACGCUCAGGCACGAAAGCUAGGGGAGCGAACAGG
RNAcentral lists this ribosomal RNA (257 nucleotides) under uncultured bacterium. RNAcentral describes it as "partial 16S ribosomal RNA". It matches the Rfam family "Bacterial small subunit ribosomal RNA", at positions 524 to 776 of the family's 1533-position model. The record is from RNAcentral.